CUACGGGCCGCAGCAGUGAGGAAUAUUGCACAAUGGGGGGAACCCUGAUGCAGCAACGCCGCGUGGAGGAUGACGCAUUUCGGUGUGUAAACUCCUUUUAUAUGUCAAGAAAAUGACGGUAGCAUAUGAAUAAGCACCGGCUAACUCCGUGCCAGCAGCCGCGGUAAUACGGAGGGUGCAAGCGUUACUCGGAAUCACUGGGCGUAAAGGACGCGUAGGCGGGUUGGAAAGUCAGGUGUGAAAUCCUACGGCUUAACUGUAGAACUGCACUUGAAACUUCUAAUCUAGAGUAUGGGAGGGGGAGAUGGAAUUAGUGGUGUAGGGGUAAAAUCCGUAGAUAUCACUAGGAAUACCUAAAGCGAAGGCGAUCUCCUGGAACAUUACUGACGCUAAGGCGUGAAAGCGUGGGGAGCAAACAGGAUUAGAAACCCCUGUAGUC
RNAcentral lists this ribosomal RNA (439 nucleotides) under uncultured bacterium. Its description in RNAcentral is "partial 16S ribosomal RNA". It matches the Rfam family "Bacterial small subunit ribosomal RNA", at positions 339 to 795 of the family's 1533-position model. The record is from RNAcentral.